GUCAUCAUGGCCAAGUGGUUAAGGCGAUGGACUAGAGAUCCAUUGGGGUCUCCCUGCAUAGGUUCGAAUCCUAUCAGCGACA
Molecule: transfer RNA, 82 nt
Filed under: Octopus vulgaris (common octopus)
Lineage: Eukaryota; Metazoa; Mollusca; Cephalopoda; Octopoda; Octopodidae
Also listed under: 1 other name
Rfam family: tRNA
About the family: Transfer RNA (tRNA) molecules are approximately 80 nucleotides in length.
Source: Rfam by way of RNAcentral